GGGGUCCUUUCCCUGGGGACCUGGGCUCCAGGCUGGGCUGCCCUGGGGGGAGGGGAAGCUGCAGGCUCAGCUGCUCAUUGUGACCUGCAUUCAGCCCUGUUGCUGGGACACUUGUCUCCAUGGCAACAGUAACUCUGAUUAUUUAACUGAAUUCCCACAGAGCCAGGGUGCGUUGGAGCGCAGGGACCCAGUGGGUCUGGACGGGGCUGCGGAACCUAGCUGCACCGGGACCACCUGGCUCCAGGCAGGUCUACCCCCUGGCUGGGGCGGUUCUGGCCCGCCUGGGUCCUCAGAGAGCCCUGGGCCUGUGCCGGGGGAUCAGUAAUUCCUGAACUUUCCCAGGAGCUGUCAGCUGGGGCCCAGCCUUGACCCUGGGGCCAGAAGCUGUGGAGCCAGGUGCUACCCCCAGAGCAAAGUGAGCCCGAGAGGAUGAGCCCAGCGGAGAGGCAUUGCAUUCGUCUUGCACUCGUCCCGGCCGGAGUCUGAAUGGAUUUGAGCUGCUCAGCAAGGAGACGAGCGCCCCGUCCUGGAACAGGUUCCUUGGCAAGGGAUUAGUUACCCCUCCUGCCAGGGCUGACUUACCAUGAGUGUGAGCUGCUUUCAGCAGUGGCCUGUCACGAUUCCCAGUGCUGCAAACUUCCUCCCAACAGUGUGCUGUUAGUUUUCGGCUGAGGACGCAGGUGCCACACGCUUCCCAACAGCAGUGCCCUCUCAGUGCCUAGCUGAGACCUCAGUGCUGCGAGCUUCCUCCCAGCAGUGCCCUGCCAGUACAGGCUAGAAACCGCAGUAAGACUGGAAGUGCAUGUCAGCAAAGAGGACACAGUCUAGGUUUCUUUCUGCAGCCAGAAGCAUCCCAGAGAGAUCCCAGCAUUCCCACCAGCCCUGGACAAGCUUCAGAUGGGAAACAGGACUCCGGUGAACCCAGGAGAUACUGGGAUCUACAAGGCAAGCAGCUCCAAGUGCUGGGGUCGAUCUGCCCUCUGUCUCCUCACCCUGCCCCCCC
Long non-coding RNA from Gopherus flavomarginatus (Mexican gopher tortoise), 1003 nucleotides. RefSeq lists it as uncharacterized. The record is from RefSeq and is a predicted model, not a curated record. NCBI's taxonomy places the organism in Eukaryota, Metazoa, Chordata, Testudines, Testudinidae. The transcript has 2 exons.